CUCAAUCAGUUUGAAUUUUGGCCUCUGAGACACCUCAGUCAGUUUGAAUUUUGGCGUUGACAACACUUCAGCUGAUGAUUUCUUAGCUCUAGGAGCUCUCUUCUGCAAAAUAGGUGGAUGACUUUCGUCUAUAAGUCCAAGUUCAUGGUUGUGAUCCUUAUGGAUUUGAUCAAUCAUCCAUUUUCCAGAAUCACGUCUUUGCACCCUUAUGAAUGCUGGACAACCUGUCCUUGAAUUAAGCUGGAAACCCUCCUUUGAGCACACAAAUCUUCUUGAAGAAACUGAACCAUCAGUUCGUGAUCGAUAAAGCUGGCCAGUCCUAAUUCUGAAUCCUAUUCGCAUUGCAUAUGCUCCAUAGAAUUCACGUGCAUCAUCUGCUGAAUCAAACUCUAAACCUAUGCAAGGUUCAAGCCUCGACUCCCCUCCAUCCCCUCCAUUGACUCCAUUGUUAACUCGAACCAUACCUAGUGGAUAUGCUUUUACAAUCAUGGCAGUUCCACACUCCUCACUGUUGGGAUUGGCAUCUGAACUUCUAAUAUUGGUGAAGAGACCUGAACUCGAAUGGAAACCCAUAUCUUUUUCUGGCGGGAAUUAUAGGCAGCGAAAUUAGGGUAAAGUGGAGGAGAAGGAGGGUACUUUGUCUAUGGUAGAUUUGUUGCUGGCAAAUCUCAGGUGAUUAGAAAGCCGAAGGAGGAGUAGGAGGAGGUUGGCCCCUUUCCUCGGCCUAUAGGAGGCAGCAAGUGGCUUUUUUUUUGGCUUUCCCUUUCUGCUGAUGCUUGCACUUCUGUGUCAAUUGGGUUGACCCGG
This 807-nucleotide unclassified non-coding RNA is filed under the name Hevea brasiliensis (rubber tree). Lineage: Eukaryota; Viridiplantae; Streptophyta; Magnoliopsida; Malpighiales; Euphorbiaceae. The record is from RNAcentral.